AUCGAACGCUGGCGGCACGCCUAACACAUGCAAGUCGAGCGGCAGCGAGAGUAGUAGCAAAACUACUUGUCGGCGAGCGGCGGACGGGUGAGGAACACGUAGGAAUCUACCCAGAAGAGGGGGAUAACCAAGGGAAACUUUGGCUAAUACCGCAUAAUCUCGAGAGAGAAAAGCUGCCCGCAAGGGUGGCGCUUUUGGAGGAGCCUGCGUCCGAUUAGCUAGUUGGUAGGGUAAAGGCCUACCAAGGCGAUGAUCGGUAACUGGUCUGAGAGGACGACCAGUCACACUGGGACUGAGACACGGCCCAGACUCCUACGGGAGGCAGCAGUGGGGAAUAUUGGACAAUGGGGGCAACCCUGAUCCAGCGAUGCCGCGUGAGUGAAGAAGGCCUUCGGGUCGUAAAGCUCUUUAGGUUGGGAAGAAGGUUGUAGGGGUAAUAUCCUUGCAAUUUGACGGUACCGACAGAAUAAGCACCGGCAAACUCUGUGCCAGCAGCCGCCGUAA
Molecule: ribosomal RNA, 504 nt
Filed under: uncultured bacterium
Lineage: Bacteria
Description: partial 16S ribosomal RNA
Rfam family: Bacterial small subunit ribosomal RNA
Source: RNAcentral